GCCCAUGUAGCUCAAUGGCAGAGCAGCUGUUUUGUAAACAGCAGGUUAGCGGUCCAAAUCCGCUCAUGGGCUCCA
RNAcentral lists this transfer RNA (75 nucleotides) under Candidatus Berkelbacteria bacterium RBG_13_40_8. Its description in RNAcentral is "tRNA-Thr". It matches the Rfam family "tRNA". From Rfam's summary of the family: Transfer RNA (tRNA) molecules are approximately 80 nucleotides in length. The record is from RNAcentral. Lineage: Bacteria; Candidatus Berkelbacteria.